GACGAACGCUGGCGGCGUGCUUAACACAUGCAAGUCGAGCGGAAAGGCCCUUCGGGGUCCUCGAGCGGCGAACGGGUGAGUAACACGUGAGUAACCUGCCCCAGACUUUGGGAUAACCCUCGGAAACGGGGGCUAAUACCGGAUACGACACAGCUUCGCAUGGGGUCUGUGUGGAAAGUUUUUCGGUUUGGGAUGGGCUCGCGGCCUAUCAGCUUGUUGGUGGGGUGAUGGCCUACCAAGGCGAGGACGGGUAGCCGGCCUGAGAGGGCGACCGGCCACACUGGGACUGAGACACGGCCCAGACUCCUACGGGAGGCAGCAGUGGGGAAUAUUGCACAAUGGGCGGAAGCCUGAUGCAGCGACGCCGCGUGAGGGAUGACGGCCUUCGGGUUGUAAACCUCUUUCAGCAGGGACGAAGCGUAAGUGACGGUGCCUGCAGAAGAAGCGCCGGCCAACUACGUG
RNAcentral lists this ribosomal RNA (462 nucleotides) under uncultured bacterium. RNAcentral describes it as "partial 16S ribosomal RNA". It matches the Rfam family "Bacterial small subunit ribosomal RNA", at positions 28 to 507 of the family's 1533-position model. The record is from RNAcentral.